AUUGAACGCUGGCGGCAGGCCUAACACAUGCAAGUCGAACGAGUGGCGGACGGGUGAGUAAUGUCUGGGAAACUGCCUGAUGGAGGGGGAUAACUACUGGAAACGGUAGCUAAUACCGCAUACCAUCAGAUGUGCCCAGAUGGGAUUAGCUUGUUGGUGGGGUAACGGCUCACCAAGGCGACGAUCCCUAGCUGGUCUGAGAGGAUGACGAGCCACACUGGAACUGAGACACGGCCCAGACUCCUACGGGAGGCAGCAGUGGGGAAUCUUCGGCAAUGGACGAAAGUCUGACCCAGCAACGCCGCGUGAGUGAAGAAGGUUUUCGGAUCGUAAAACUCUGUUGGUAGGGAAGCGGUAUCUAAACAGGAAGCCCCGGCUAACUACGUGCCAGCAGCCGCGGUAAUUC
RNAcentral lists this ribosomal RNA (406 nucleotides) under uncultured bacterium. Its description in RNAcentral is "partial 16S ribosomal RNA". It matches the Rfam family "Bacterial small subunit ribosomal RNA", at positions 30 to 526 of the family's 1533-position model. The record is from RNAcentral.